This 253-nucleotide ribosomal RNA is filed under the name uncultured bacterium. RNAcentral describes it as "partial 16S ribosomal RNA". It matches the Rfam family "Bacterial small subunit ribosomal RNA", at positions 524 to 776 of the family's 1533-position model. The record is from RNAcentral.
UACGAAGGGUGCAAGCGUUACUCGGAAUUACUGGGCGUAAAGCGUGCGUAGGUGGUUUGUUAAGUCUGAUGUGAAAUCCCUGGGCUCAACCCAGGAACUGCGUCCGAUACUGGUUGGCUUGAAUCCGGGAGAGGGAUGUGGAAUUCCAGGUGUAGCGGUGAAAUGCGUAGAUAUCUGGAGGAACACCGGUGGCGAAGGCGACAUCCUGGACCGGUAUUGACGCUGAGGCGCGAAAGCCAGGGGAGCAAACGGG